GACGAACGCUGGCGGCGUGCUUAACACAUGCAAGUCGAACGGAAAGGCCCUGCUUUUGUGGGGUGCUCGAGUGGCGAACGGGUGAGUAACACGUGAGUAACCUGCCCUUGACUUUGGGAUAACUUCAGGAAACUGGGGCUAAUACCGGAUAGGAGCUCCUGCUGCAUGGUGGGGGGUGGAAAGUUUCGGCGGUUGGGGAUGGACUCGCGGCUUAUCAGCUUGUUGGUGGGGUAGUGGCUUACCAAGGCUUUGACGGGUAGCCGGCCUGAGAGGGUGACCGGGCACAUUGGGACUGCGAUACGGCCCAGACUGCUACGGGAGGCAGCAGUGGGGAAUAUUGCACAAUGGGCGGAAGCCUGAUGCAGCAACGCCGCGUGCGGGAUGACGGCCUUCGGGUUGUAAACCGCUUUCGCCUGUGACGAAGCGUGAGUGACGGUAAUGGGUAAAGAAGCACCGGCUAACUACGUG
Molecule: ribosomal RNA, 468 nt
Filed under: uncultured bacterium
Lineage: Bacteria
Description: partial 16S ribosomal RNA
Rfam family: Bacterial small subunit ribosomal RNA
Source: RNAcentral